GUACCUGGACCGGAUGCGAACCAAUCUCAAUUCCUCUCUCGCCCGCAACCAUACCUGGCGAUGCGCUGCUGCCGCCGCGCCACCGACCGUCGCCCCGACCGUCACCAGCCGCUUCCGGCGCCGCCACAUGUCGUCGAGGCUCAGUCGUCCUCUCCUUUACCGAACCCCCACCGGCUCCCCUCUCUUCUCUCAAGUGCGCAGCUCCCGAGCCCUCCAUGGCCUGGCCGCACCGCCGCUUUUCCCCGGCCGCUCCCGGCCCUCUCCGGCGCCAGCGAUCUAGGGCUUUGCUCCGCCUCGCCUCUCUCUACUGCCUCCCCUGUUCGAUUUGAUCCUCGCGGUCAAAAUCACCCACCCCCAACUCAGGAAGCCUAGCUCACCGUUGAUGGUUUUGGCCGUCGCUGGCCUUGGCGGGCACCGCUGUUUAUCGGCGUGGCCUUGCCACCUGUUUCCCCGCCAACACCCUCAGGCUUGACGCCGCCCCUACUCCGGCCGGUUCUGGUCACUACGGCCUUGCCGCGCACCUGCCCGAGCUCAGGCUGCUUCGCCUCCGCUGGUUUCCUAUCGCCGCCACGCACACACACACGCUCGCCUCAACUACUGAUAUUCGACGCUGGCUGGACGACAUUCUCUGCAACCCCGACGUCAUCGACCUGCUGCUAUUGUGUUUCUGUACUGGAAUAUGUGAGGAUUUGUGGCAGUAGAAAUGGCAUGGUGGUGGUGUACUAGUGCGGUGAUGGUUUCUGGUGGUGGUGGUGUGUUGUUGCCACUGCAUCCCUGACUUCGACGCCGGCGGGACGGUGCUGCCGGCGCAACCUCGGCGUCGGCUCCUACAUCUCUUCUCUGCAAUGCAAUGUGAUCACUUAAACAAGAGGUGAUGAUCUUCAAAUUUAGUUUAGGAUUUGAUUCUCUUUUCUUAUACUUGUAAUUGUACUAUAUUAUUAUUCUUUAUUAUUUUUGUAAAGACUUUGUAUUAUUGUGUGAAUAUCAAUAAAGGAAUAUUUUUCCUUGUUGUAGAAUA
Lolium perenne is the source of this 1018-nucleotide long non-coding RNA. RefSeq lists it as uncharacterized. The record is from RefSeq and is a predicted model, not a curated record. Lineage: Eukaryota; Viridiplantae; Streptophyta; Magnoliopsida; Poales; Poaceae.